GACGAACGCUGGCGGCGUGCCUAACACAUGCAAGUCGAGCGAGCGGCGGACGGGUGAGUAAUGUAUGGGGACUGCCCGAUAGAGGGGGAUAACUACUGGAAACGGUAGCUAAUACCGCAUACUAUCGGAUAACCCAGAUGGGAUUAGCUUGUUGGUGGGGUAAAGGCUCACCUAGGCGACGAUCCCUAGCUGGGAUGAGAGGAUGAACAGCCACACUGGGACUUAGACACGGCCCAGACUCCUACGGGGGCAGCAGUGGGGAAUAUUGCACAAUGGGCGCAAGCCUGAUGCAGCCAUGCCGCUUGUAUGAAGAAGGCCUUAGGGUUGUAAAGUACUUUCAGCGGGGAGGCGUUACCCGCAGAAGAAGCACCGGCUAACUCCGUGCCAGCAGCCGCGGUAAUUC
This 403-nucleotide ribosomal RNA is filed under the name uncultured bacterium. Its description in RNAcentral is "partial 16S ribosomal RNA". It matches the Rfam family "Bacterial small subunit ribosomal RNA", at positions 28 to 526 of the family's 1533-position model. The record is from RNAcentral.